RNAcentral lists this ribosomal RNA (400 nucleotides) under Ulva sp. ASV_49. RNAcentral describes it as "SSU rRNA". It matches the Rfam family "Eukaryotic small subunit ribosomal RNA", at positions 592 to 998 of the family's 1831-position model. The record is from RNAcentral. Lineage: Eukaryota; Viridiplantae; Chlorophyta; Ulvophyceae; Ulvales; Ulvaceae.
CAAUAGCGUAUAUUUAAGUUGUUGCAGUUAAAAAGCUCGUAGUUGGAUUUCGGGUGGGACGCAGCGGUCUCGCAUUGCGUUUGUACUGCUGCAGCCCUCCUUCUUGCCGGGGGCGGCCCUCCGGACUUUACUGUCUGGGGGUCAGAAUCGGCGAUGUUACUUUGAGUAAAUUAGAGUGUUCAAAGCAAGCUUACGCUCUGAAUAUAAUAGCAUGGGAUAACACGACAGGACUCUGGCCUAUCGUGUUGGUCUAUAGGACCAGAGUAAUGAUUAAGAGGGACAGUCGGGGGCAUUCGUAUUCCGUUGUCAGAGGUGAAAUUCUUGGAUUUACGGAAGACGAACAUCUGCGAAAGCAUUUGCCAAGGAUGUUUUCAUUGAUCAAGAACGAAAGUUGGGGGCU